Molecule: long non-coding RNA, 2244 nt
Organism: Zingiber officinale
Lineage: Eukaryota; Viridiplantae; Streptophyta; Magnoliopsida; Zingiberales; Zingiberaceae
Exons: 7
Source: RefSeq, a predicted model, not a curated record
UUUUAUUAAAUUUGUAGUCCGGGUGGCAUCCAAGUUCAACGAAGGAGAAGGAUGAAAAAAUAAAAUUCCUCUUUUUUCACAUCUGCUCGAUUCCUAGCAUCCAAAUCCAACGAAGAGAGAAAGAAGAAAAAAAUAAAUCCAUCUUUUCCACAUCCGCCCGAUUCCUUCUACGGUUUUACCUCUCUACCCCGCCUGAUUUCUUCUUGAUUCUCUUCUUGCUCUUGACGUUCCACUCCUCUCUUAAAUGCCCACUUGCCCGGGCUGCACCAUCCAGUCAUCUUCCUCUUCGCCGAGAACCCCUACAUCUUGUCCUCCCUCCUCCUCAUCUCUCUCUUUGCCAGCUCCCUUUUCUUCUCUGCCUUUGAGUUUUCCACCAUCUCCCUCUUUGCCAGCAACCUCGCCGCUUUAGCCACCAGUCCACCACUAACCCCAGGAGUCCCACCUACUCUGAACUCCUCUAUCGGCCAGAGGGUUCAAGCUUGACAAAGGAGAAGACACCAAUUGCUUCCUUGAUCAAAUUGUUUCUCUACACCGUCAUCCAUCCAGGAACUACUAGUUGGAGCUCCCAUUUUCAAUCUAUUUGCGACUUAAUAGAUAAGUAUAAUGCAACUAUUAAUGUACUUGAAAACAUUAUCACUGAUGGUUCCUCAACUUUGAUGCGUGGGGAAGCUGGUAGUUCCUUAAUAGUGAUAAAGUCUUUUGAUUUCAUUUUUAUUUUGCAUUUGAUGCAUAAAAUUAUGGAGAUCACAGACUUACGUACUUUGUUGUGUCUUGCAACAAAAAUCUCUUGAUAUCAUAAAUGUAAUGGAUUUGGUCUUUACAACUAAAGCAUUUCUUCUAACAUUGAGAAAUGAUGGUUUUGAUAUUCUUUUUUCAUAUGUCAAAUCAUUUUGCACAAGAUUGGAUAUUGAUACUAGAGAUGAGUGCUCAUUAUAAGCUUUCUAGUCGUUUAUGUUAACAAAGGGAUACCAUCACAGUUGAGCAUCACUUUCAUUACGAUAUAUUUAAUGCUGUAAUAGAUUUUCAAUUGGAAAAGUUACACUCUAGAUUCAUUGAUGAGACAGUAGAACUUCUUAUGCUUAUCUCUGCUUUUGAUCGAAAAGAUAAUUUUAAUUGGUUCAACAUUGAUAAGAUUUGUACUCUCACCAAGAAGUAUUAUCCUGAGGACUUCGUUGAACAGGAAAUGCAUAAUUUGAGGUGUCAACUACAACAUUAUGAGCUCGAUGUGAUUUGUCAUAAAAAUUUCAGAAAAUGUCCACUAUCUCAUAAUUGUGUCAAGGGAUAUUUGAAACAAAAAAAAAUGUAAUACUAUAAUUUGAUCGACAAGGUGAUUUGUCUAGUUUUAACUUUGCCUGUUUCCACUGCAACUACAGAGCGUGCAUUUUCGGCUAUGAAACAUAUUAAAACAAUUCUUCGUAAUAGAAUGGGAGAGGAUUUUCUGACAGAUUCUAUGAAUAUCCACAUUGAGAGAGAGUUUGUUGCAAGUAUUGAUUUAGAUUCUAUAAUUGAUGAAUAUUAUACUUUGAAGAAUCGUAAAUCACAACUUCAAUAAUAUAUGUAUGUAUAUAUGGAUCAUAAAAUGAUUUUUACUUUGUGAGUUAUUUGUGCUAAUUAAUUUUUUCAACUUUUAUUUAGGAAGUUAUGGCAUAAAAGCCCUCCAACUGGAAACUACAACUGGAGCGGCAAUUCAAUUUUUAACAAUGCGAUUGAGAUUAAUGUACCACAACCCCGGUUUUUGUCCAUGAAGGAAACAUUUGAUCUGCUUCUAGUGCAGGUGGCAAAGUUCCUUUCCUGUUUCAAGUCCAUACCUAGUAUUGUUGACCUUGACAAGGUUUCUGGUGAUGUUUGAUUUGGUUCAAGAAUAGUGUUGAAGAACUCAAGAAAAAAUAUCAAAGGGAUUUGCAAAACUUGACUUUGGCCACUCAAUCUUUCAAGAUUUUUUAUUUGUUUGUGUUUGCUACACUCCUAAUAUUUUGCAUUAAUGAGGAUUCAACCUACAAAAACUUAGAGAUCAUCAUUAUUGAUGCAGCUCAUAAUAUUGUUAUCCACAACAACCUAAGGAUUAACUCUAGAGUUACCAUUAAACUUUGCUUUCAUGGUUACCUUUUAUUUAGAAAUUUGAUGUGAUUUCACCUUAGAAUUUUAGUUACCCAUUUGAUGUGUUUGUCUAGUCCCAUAAGUUAUGUGAUUCUACUCAUCAACUUGUUUCCUUUGAUAAUUUGGACUCUGAUAUAUUUUAAUGCC